This 255-nucleotide ribosomal RNA is filed under the name uncultured bacterium. RNAcentral's name for it is "partial 16S ribosomal RNA". It matches the Rfam family "Bacterial small subunit ribosomal RNA", at positions 102 to 353 of the family's 1533-position model. The record is from RNAcentral.
ACGGGUGAGUAACGCGUGAGUAACCUGCCUUUCANAGGGGGAUAACGUUCUGAAAAGAACGCUAAUACCGCAUAACAUCAAUUUAUCGCAUGAUAGGUUGAUCAAAGGAGCAAUCCGCUGGAAGAUGGACUCGCGUCCGAUUAGCCAGUUGGCGGGGUAACGGCCCACCAAAGCGACGAUCGGUAGCCGGACUGAGAGGUUGAACGGCCACAUUGGGACUGAGACACGGCCCAGACUCCUACGGGAGGCAGCAUG